RNAcentral lists this ribosomal RNA (147 nucleotides) under uncultured bacterium. Its description in RNAcentral is "partial 16S ribosomal RNA". It matches the Rfam family "Bacterial small subunit ribosomal RNA", at positions 385 to 524 of the family's 1533-position model. The record is from RNAcentral.
GAUCCAGCCAUGCCGCGUGUGUGAAGAAGGUCUUCGGAUUGUAAAGCACUUUAAGUUGGGAGGAAGGGUUGUAGAUUAAUACUCUGCAAUUUUGACGUUACCGACAGAAUAAGCACCGGCUAACUCUGUGCCAGCAGCCGCGGUAAU